GCUGCUGUAGCUCAGUCGGUAGAGCAACUGAUUCGUAAUCAGUAGGUCACCAGUUCGAUUCCGGUCAGCAGCA
Molecule: transfer RNA, 73 nt
Organism: Azoarcus sp.
Lineage: Bacteria; Pseudomonadati; Pseudomonadota; Betaproteobacteria; Rhodocyclales; Zoogloeaceae
Rfam family: tRNA
About the family: Transfer RNA (tRNA) molecules are approximately 80 nucleotides in length. Their secondary structure includes four short double-helical elements and three loops (D, anti-codon, and T loops).
Source: Rfam